This 253-nucleotide ribosomal RNA is filed under the name uncultured bacterium. RNAcentral's name for it is "partial 16S ribosomal RNA". It matches the Rfam family "Bacterial small subunit ribosomal RNA", at positions 524 to 776 of the family's 1533-position model. The record is from RNAcentral.
UACAGAGGAUGCAAGCGUUAUCCGGAAUGAUUGGGCGUAAAGCGUCUGUAGGUGGCUUUUUAAGUCCGCCGUCAAAUCCCAGGGCUCAACUCUGGACAGGCGGUGAAAACUACCAAGCUGGAGUACGGUAGGGGCAGAGGGAAUUUCCGGUGGAGCGGUGAAAUGCGUAGAGAUCGGAAAGAACACCAGUGGCGAAGGCGGCUACCUGGACAGAUACUGACGCUGAGGCGCGAGAGCGUGGGGAGCAAACAGG